ACGAACGCUGGCGGCAGGCUUAACACAUGCAAGUCGAGCGCCCCGCAAGGGGAGCGGCAGACGGGUGAGUAACGCGUGGGAAUCUACCGAGCCCUACGGAAUAACUCAGGGAAACGGGUGCUAAUACCGUAUACGUCCGACAGGGGAAAGAUUUAUCGGGGUUGGAUGAGCCCGCGUUGGAUUAGCUAGUUGGUGGGGUAAAGGCCUACCAAGGCGACGAUCCAUAGCUGGUCUGAGAGGAUGAUCAGCCACACUGGGACUGAGACACGGCCCAAACUCCUACGGGAGGCAGCAGUGGGGAAUAUUGGACAAUGGGCGAAAGCCUGAUCCAGCAAUGCCGCGUGAGUGAUGAAGGUCUUAGGAUUGUAAAGCUCUUUCACCGGAGAUGAUAAUGACGGUACCCGGAGAAGAAGCCCCGGCUAACUUCGU
RNAcentral lists this ribosomal RNA (429 nucleotides) under uncultured bacterium. RNAcentral's name for it is "bacterial SSU rRNA". It matches the Rfam family "Bacterial small subunit ribosomal RNA", at positions 29 to 506 of the family's 1533-position model. The record is from RNAcentral.